AGAGUUUGAUCCUGGCUCAGGAUAAACGCUGGCGGCGUGCCUAACACAUGCAAGUCGAACGCUCUCUCAGCAAUGGGAGGGAGUGGCGGACGGGUGAGUAACACACGGGAAUCGACCCACACGUGAGGAAUACCACCGGGAAACCGGUGACAAUACCGCAUACGCUCGGACAACCGAGCAAAGCUCUUUUUCGGAAGGGCGCGCGUGGACGAGCCUGUGCCUGAUUAGUUCGUUGGUGGGGUAAGAGCCUACCAAGACUGCGAUCAGUCGCUGGUCUGAGAGGAUGAUCAGCCACACUGGGAUUGAGAACGGCCCAGACUCCUACGGGGGGCAGCAGUGAGGAAUAUUCGGCAAUGGGGGCAACCCUGACCGAGCAACGCCGCGUGCAGGAUGACGGCCUUCGGGUUGUAAACUGCUUUUCUGGGGGAUGAGAAACGGACAGUACCCCAGGAAGAAGCUCCGGCUAACUACGUGCCAGCAGCCGCGGUAAUACGUAGGGAGCAAGCGUUGUCCGGAGUUACUGGGCGUAAAGCGCACGCAGGCGGUCUGUCGCGUUCGUGCCGACAGCGACUCGCCUAACGAGUCGAGGAGUACGGAAACGGGCAGACUUGAGGGUCAGAGAGGGACACGGAACCCCGGGUGGAGUGGUGAAAUGCGUAGAGAUCCGGAAGAACACCAAAGGCGAAGGCAGUGUCCUGGCUGAUACCUGACGCUCAGAGGCGACAGCGAGGGGAGCGAACGGGAUUAGAUACCCCGGUAGUCCUCGCCGUAAACGAUGACCACGAGAUGUCCGGGGGAUCGACCCCCUGGGUGUCGCAGCUAACGCAGUCAGUGGUCCGCCUGGGGAGUACGGUCGCAAGAUUAAAACUCAAAGGAAUUGACGG
RNAcentral lists this ribosomal RNA (884 nucleotides) under uncultured bacterium. RNAcentral describes it as "bacterial SSU rRNA". It matches the Rfam family "Bacterial small subunit ribosomal RNA", at positions 8 to 916 of the family's 1533-position model. The record is from RNAcentral.